RNAcentral lists this long non-coding RNA (3291 nucleotides) under Homo sapiens (human). RNAcentral's name for it is "HSALNT0059776". The record is from RNAcentral. Lineage: Eukaryota; Metazoa; Chordata; Mammalia; Primates; Hominidae.
GUUAUUUUAAAAAAUCAUCCAAGGGGAAACUGACAUGACAGAGUCAGCUUCUCUCUCCCAUCUACUUAAACAAAGGGAAAACGCAGUACAAUCAGAAAUAUGACUUAUGGAUAUUUUAUAAGAUAAAUUUAGGAGAAAAAUUUAAAAGGGAUAAAAGAACACUUUGAAGACCUAGAAAAGCUCGUGAAAAUCAGGGGUGUAAGGAGGAUGCAGAGAGAGAAGGGAAAAGUUACAAGGUCAAGAAAGGAGAAAAGGAAAAGACAUUUUAGAAAUUUCUCUUUCUAACCUGAGCCACAUAGCAAGACCCUGUCUCUACAAAAAAAUCAAAAACUAGCCAGGUAUGGUGGUGUACACUUGUAGUCCCAGCUACUCAGGAGGCUGAGGUUGGAGGAUCACUUGAGCUCAGGAGGUCGAGGCUGCAAUGAGCUAUGAUCGCGCCACUGCACUCCAGCCUGGGAGACAGAGCGAGACCCUGUCUCCAAAAAAAAAAAAAAAAGAAAGAAAGAAAGAAAAAGAAAAAAUUAUCUUCUUAUCCCGCUCUUCUCAGGCAUUAAUGAGCUUAUCUGGUAUACUGAAGGAUUUAGCUUAACCCACAAUAUAUGCCUGAGUAGAUUCUUUGGCAGUAUUACCUUGUGUGAUGUGUCAAUUCCUUGGCAAUGAUUCACGCACGCGUGCACACACACACGCACACAGAGCAAGCACAGCAAUACGCAUUUGUGUCAUCUGUUGGGGACCAAGGUUCACAAAUAGCAAAACACACAGCAUCAUCCGGGGCUGGAGCAAGUGAGCAGCCUGGGAGGAGAGGGGUCACAUGAGCAGCUUGGCUCAGCUGACCCUGGAGCCAGUUCCCUCAGGUUUCCCAGAGCACAGCCUGGCUGAGACUGAAGGCGGCUUAUCCAUCUUGAAUUCUGAGGAAACAGAGACCCAGGGCGUAGGUUUCUGCAAGAGUCACAGGCUCGUGGGAACAAAGUCAAAGUCACUGGGAGAAAACCGGGCUGACUGUGGGACUGGAACUGGAGAGCAUUUCUGGAUUCAGUCCUCUAAAAGGUGCCUCUUGCAUGGUGGCCUGACAUGUCAACGUGCCCAGGAGUCUGUGACAGGCAGCCAGGUGCCUCAAUCCCACUGCCUGGGGGGCCAGGGCUGGGCUGGGACUCACCAUAUUCUGGAAGUCGCACAAACUCCGAGGGCUCGCUGGGAAGGCUGAUUCCCCAGGGGUUACUGGCACUGACUCUGAACUGAUAAGGACACCCGGGACUAAGGUCUUCGAUGACGAGGCCUCAGCCUCCCACUCUGUAAAAUGGGAUUGAUCAUCCCUGUCUGGGUGAUCGAGCAUGUUAAGUAGGGAUACAUGCAUGAAGACACCUUGAAACCUGCCCUGGGUCAUAAAUAUGUCAGGGAGGUUUGGAUCAUCUUAGCCAAAACAGCUGCUCGACAUCUGGGAUCAGAAGGCAGCUGUAAUCUGGCACUGAGGCCUCUGUGCUGAGUUGGAAGACACAACAAGGAACAACUUCUGAAAGAUGAGGAGGCUAAUAUGUUCACAAUUCUGAAGGACCUCCUAGAGACGAAGAGAAGACAGAAAAACAAGAGCAGGAGGCCGGGCGCGGUGGCUUACGCCUGUAAUCCCAGCACUUCCGGAGGCUGAGGCAAGUGGACUGUUUGCGCUCAGGAGUUUCACAGCAGCCAGCAGCCUGGGCAGCAUAGUGAGACCCUGUCUCUACUAAAAAUACAAAAAUUAGCCGGGUGUGGUGGUGUGCGCUUUAGUCCCAGCUACUCAGGAGGCUGAGGUGGGAGGUUGGCUUGAGCCCAGGAGGUGGAGGCUGCAGUGAGCCCACAUUGCACCACUGCACUCCAGCCUGGGUUGAUGGAGCCAAACCCUGUCUCAAAAAAAAUAAACAAUAAAAAUAAAGGAAAAUAAAAGUGGCUCAUGCCUGUAAUCCCAGCACUUUGGGAGGCCAAGGUGGGAGGAUCACGUUAGCCCUGGCGUUUGAGACCAGCCUGGGCAAUAUAGCAAUAGCCUGUCUCUAUUCAAAUUUUUGAAAAAAUGGUUAGCAUGGUAAAUUUUAUUAUGUGUGUUUUACUGCAAUUUUAAAAAUAAAUGUUUUAAAAGAAGAGAAAAGAAAAAGAAGAGCAGGAGAUAGUGCACCUUCCUCUCUGUACUCCACAGUGUAACCAGAAAUAGUGCAGUUUCCUGUGCUGGAGGGGGGCAGCCAGCGGAGAAUCACGGAGGUGCAGCUUCUCUCCUGGGCAAUGGGGCGGUUAGGGGCUGCUGGAACACCUAUGGAGACAGAAAUCAGGAUCAGGUGCUAUUUCUGCAGAACUUGGCAUUUUACACCAAGGUAUAAGUCAUCUAGGAAACAUUACCUAACCGAUGUCACAAUUUUUUCCUGUGACCUUCUCCACCAAGUGGCAUACCUUUCUCCAGGCCCAAGGCAGAUGUGGGAGACACACCAUGCUGUCUGAAGUUCUUCCUUGGGCUAAAUACUGCACCCUGAAGAUAAAGCUUGGCCAGGGAACUAACAUGUUGAUGGUAGGUUUAUGGUAGGCCACAGACAGCUCUUAGCAAAGAUUCGUUCUCGUCUCAUUUGCCAGAACUUUAUUUUUGAAUUUUUACAAUGGACAUUUUCUCCCCCAGGUCGCAGGGAGCCCUUAUAAUGUUCACUUAAAACGUAGUGCCAGGUGUGCUGGCUGACGCCUAUAAUCCUAGCACUUUGGGAUGCCAAGGCAGGAGGAUCACUUGAGCCCAGGAGUUCGAGGCUCCAUCACUACAAAAAGUUUAAAAAAUGAGCUGGGCAUGGUGGCACAUGCCUAUAGUCCUAGCUAGUUGGAAGGCUGAGGUGGGAGGAUAGCUUGAGCCUGGGAGGUUGAGGCUGCAGUGAGUGGUGUCAUGCUACUGCACUCCAGCCUGAGCGACAGAGCAAGACCCUGUCUCAAGAAAAAAUAAAGUUUGAGUAACACAAAUUGAUAGAGACAGAAAGUAGAGCAGUGGUGGCCAAGAAGCACUGGGGAGGAGGGAAUGGGGAGUCAUUGUUCAACAGGUACAGAUGCAGUUUCAGAAAGAUGGGAAGAUGAAAAAGUUCUGUGGAUGGAUGGUGGUGAUGGUAACCCAAAAAUGUGGAUGUACUUAAUGCCACUGAACUGUACACUUAUUUAUUUAUUUUUAAGCUGUACAUUUAAGAUGGUUCAGAUGGGAUGGGCACAGUGGCUCAUGCCUGCAAUCCCAGCACUUUGGGAGGCCAAGACGGGAGGAUUGCGUUAGCCUUGGAGUUUGAGACCAGCCUGGGCAACAUAGCG